UAGAGGUACAGAUAGAGAUAUACUGUUUACAUUCAAUGUUUGAUGUUCUAUUAAGCGUACUGUAGUACGCCGACUUGAAUGGGUAGCUGCCAUUGGUGGCUAUUUUUUUACAUU
RNAcentral lists this non-coding RNA (114 nucleotides) under unclassified sequences. RNAcentral describes it as "DUF3800-I RNA". It matches the Rfam family "DUF3800-I RNA". Rfam says of the family: Actinobacteria, Firmicutes, Fusobacteria, Proteobacteria (1 example), Tenericutes (2 examples). Terminator (Clostridia) The record is from Rfam by way of RNAcentral.